UACGUAGGGUGCAAGCGUUGUCCGGAAUUAUUGGGCGUAAAGAGCUCGUAGGCGGUUUGUCACGUCGGCUGUGAAACCCUGGGGCUCAACCCCCAGCCUGCAGUGGGUACGGGCAGACUAGAGUGCGGUAGGGGAGAUUGGAAUUCCUGGUGUAGCGGUGGAAUGCGCAGAUAUCAGGAGGAACACCGAGUGGCGAAGGCAGAUCUCUGGGCCGUAACUGACGCUGAGGAGCGAAAGCAUGGGGAGCGAACAGG
RNAcentral lists this ribosomal RNA (254 nucleotides) under uncultured bacterium. Its description in RNAcentral is "partial 16S ribosomal RNA". It matches the Rfam family "Bacterial small subunit ribosomal RNA", at positions 524 to 776 of the family's 1533-position model. The record is from RNAcentral.